This 254-nucleotide ribosomal RNA is filed under the name uncultured bacterium. RNAcentral describes it as "partial 16S ribosomal RNA". It matches the Rfam family "Bacterial small subunit ribosomal RNA", at positions 524 to 777 of the family's 1533-position model. The record is from RNAcentral.
UACAGAGGUCCCAAGCGUUGUUCGGAUUCACUGGGCGUAAAGGGUGCGUAGGUGGCCAGGUAAGUUCGGUGUGAAAGCUCGGAGCUUAACUCCGAAAUGUCAUUGAAUACUAUCUGGCUGGAGGGUCGGAGGGGAGACUGGAAUUCUCGGUGUAGCAGUGAAAUGCGUAGAUAUCGAGAGGAACACCAGUGGCGAAGGCGAGUCUCUGGACGACACCUGACACUGAGGCACGAAAGCUAGGGGAGCAAACCAGG